RNA transcript from Ipomoea nil (Japanese morning glory), 938 nucleotides. RefSeq lists it as uncharacterized. NCBI's taxonomy places the organism in Eukaryota, Viridiplantae, Streptophyta, Magnoliopsida, Solanales, Convolvulaceae. The transcript is spliced from 4 exons. The record is from RefSeq and is a predicted model, not a curated record.
UUGAGUUUAGGGGAAAUUAGGGUUGUGAUUUGAGAUUAUGCAUAAAGAUUUUUUGUGUGCAAUUUGAUCUUUUUAUGGAUAAUGGAUAAAUAAUGUAGGCAGUUUACAUAGAGGCAAUUGUGAAUUUGUGAUGGUGCAAGAGUAUCAUCAGCAAAUCUUGAUUGGUGGUAUUCGAGAUGUUCAGGGCCAUUACCCUCAGCUCAGGUUUAUGAAGCUCUUGAGCUUCAGAUUGUAGCUACAGAAGCUGCUCAAAUUGAGAAGUCCCAGCAAAUGGCAUUAGUGCUGCAGAUGCUUCAGACCCUUCGAUUGGAGGUGUUUCCAAUCAAUUAUUUAUGGGAACCUCAACUUGGGCAGGUGCUGUUAUCCAUGUAGGAUGAGCUGCAAAAACUUGGCUGACCAAACGGAAAAAGAUGGUGGUUCAAUUUGGACAACCCAUUAGGACUAAUGGACCUUUGAUGCUCCGGCCCGUUAUCCUUCCACUGCAGAGAGGAGGAGGUGUUCGCUGCUCUGUGAAACCAGCCUGACACGGUGCCCUCCAAUCUAAGGGCCAAUAGGCCUCGGCCUUCGCAGAGACUCCACAGCCAGACUCACCACUUGGAACGGGCAGGCCAGUAAAUAGCAUCACAAGCCCAGCCUUCAAGGUAAGCGCAUUUAUUCCACUAUCUUAAUGCUCCCACUUGGGCUACAGACUUACGCUACCAAGCCCAGCAAACAGAGCUUCUACCUACGGACUUAUUAAGAAAAAUAUUCCUCCUCUGUUUCCGAUGUGGGAAAUUGGGCGAGCCUUUCAUGGGUAAAAAAUGGAGCAGAGAACUCUGAUGUACUUAUGUUUAUGCCUUGAUUUGUCAAACACUUAGGAAUGUAGAUGAAGCCUUGGUUUCUUCUAUUUUUUUUUUUUUUUUUUUUUUGGUAAUGGAAAUUAUAUCAUUUUUGUUGAA